GACGAACGCUGGCGGCGCGCUUAACACAUGCAAGUCGAACGGAAAGGCCUGCUUUCCCUUGUGGAUUGCGGUUACUCGAGUGGCGAACGGGUGAGUAACACGUGAGUGAUCUGCCCCCAACUUGGGUAUAAGCCUGGGAAACUGGGUCUAAUUCCCGAUAGGACUGCAGGGUGGUGCCUGUGGUGGAAAACGAUUUUCUAGUGGUUGGGGAUGAGCUCGCGGCCUAUCAGCUUGUUGGUGGGGUAAUGGCCUACCAAGGCGGCGACGGGUAGCCGGCCUGAGAGGGUGGACGGCCACAUUGGGACUGAGAUACGGCCCAGACUCCUACGGGAGGCAGCAGCGGGGAAUAUUGCACAAUGGGCGGAAGCCUGAUGCAGCGACGCCGCGUGGGGGAUGACGGCCUUCGGGUUGUAAACUCCUUUCGACCGCGAGGAAGCCACCUGGUUGGAAGGGUGGUGACGGUAGUGGUAGAAGAAGCACCGGCUAACUACGUG
RNAcentral lists this ribosomal RNA (494 nucleotides) under uncultured bacterium. RNAcentral describes it as "partial 16S ribosomal RNA". It matches the Rfam family "Bacterial small subunit ribosomal RNA", at positions 28 to 507 of the family's 1533-position model. The record is from RNAcentral.